RNAcentral lists this ribosomal RNA (474 nucleotides) under uncultured bacterium. RNAcentral's name for it is "bacterial SSU rRNA". It matches the Rfam family "Bacterial small subunit ribosomal RNA", at positions 29 to 506 of the family's 1533-position model. The record is from RNAcentral.
ACGAACGUUGGCGGCGUGCCUAAUGCAUGCAAGUCGAACGAGGGACCUCCUCCGGGUAACCGGAAGAGGUCACCUAGUGGCGAACGGGUGAGUAACACGUGAGAAACCUGCCCCGGAGACCGGAAUAGCCCAGGGAAACUUGGAUUAAUGCCGGAUGUCCUCGGAUGGUCGCAUGGCCGACCGAGGAAAAGUCCGCUGCUCCGGGAUGGUCUCGUGGCCUAUCAGCUUGUUGGUGAGGUAACGGCUCACCAAGGCGACGACGGGUAGCUGGUCUGAGAGGACGAUCAGCCACACUGGGACUGAGACACGGCCCAGACUCCUGCGGGAGGCAGCAGCAGGGAAUUUUGCACAAUGGACGAAAGUCUGAUGCAGCGACGCCGCGUGGGGGAUGAAUGCCUUCGGGUUGUAAACCCCUUUCAGGAGGGACGAAGCGAAAGUGACGGUACCUUCAGAAGAAGCCCCGGCCAACUACGU